Molecule: ribosomal RNA, 23 nt
Filed under: Mourera weddelliana
Lineage: Eukaryota; Viridiplantae; Streptophyta; Magnoliopsida; Malpighiales; Podostemaceae
Description: partial 26S ribosomal RNA
Source: RNAcentral
UGAUCCCAGGUCAGGCGGGAGUA